UAUCAGUCAUGCAUAGCAUAUCAAUAAGCGGAGGAAAAGAAACUAACAAGGAUUCCCUAGUAACAGCGAGUGAAGCGGGAAGAGCUCAAAUUUGAAAUCUUAAAGGGUUUCCCUUGACGAAUUGUAGUUUAUAGAAGUGUUUUCUGUUAGUGGAGUUCGGUAAAAGUUCUUUGGAAUAGGACAUCAUAGAGGGUGAGAAUCCCGUAUUUGACCGUUACUUUCCUAGCUGUGUGAUACACUUUCAAAGAGUCGGAUUGUUUGGGAAUGCAGUCCAAAAUGGGUGGUAAAUUUCAUCUAAAGCUAAAUAUUGGCGAGAGACCGAUAGCGAACAAGUACCGUGAGGGAAAGAUGAAAAGAACUUUGAAAAGAGAGUUAAACAGUACGUGAAAUUGUCAAAAGGGAAGCGUUUGACACCAGUGUUGUUUUUCCGAAAAUCAAUUACGAAUGUUUUGUUUUUGAGGAGUUAUGACUUCAUCGGCUUGCUUCUUUCUUUAUGAAACUUUCUUAAUGCACUUUUCGGUUAACAAGUCAACAUCAAUUUCUUUUGUUGUAAAAGGGUUAUGAGGAAGGUGGCUUUCUCUUCGGAGAAAGUGUUUAUAGCCUUGUAGCCUCUGCAAUCGGAGAGAUUGAGGUCUGCGGCGUAGAUCCUUCGGGGUUAGAUACAUUUGUGCUAAGUUAUAGUCUUUUAUAGACAACUUGUUGACUAUGAUUGAUCUUGUACCUUACUCGCUUAUGCUAUUUUACCUACGCUUAGGAUGUUGAUCUCUCACAGUCGAGC
RNAcentral lists this ribosomal RNA (778 nucleotides) under uncultured Neocallimastigales. RNAcentral's name for it is "partial large subunit ribosomal RNA". It matches the Rfam family "Eukaryotic large subunit ribosomal RNA", at positions 22 to 645 of the family's 3401-position model. The record is from RNAcentral. Lineage: Eukaryota; Fungi; Neocallimastigomycota; Neocallimastigomycetes; Neocallimastigales.